Molecule: small RNA, 76 nt
Filed under: Burkholderia dolosa AU0158
Lineage: Bacteria; Pseudomonadati; Pseudomonadota; Betaproteobacteria; Burkholderiales; Burkholderiaceae
Also listed under: 1 other name
Description: Burkholderia dolosa AUO158 isrK Hfq binding RNA
Rfam family: isrK Hfq binding RNA
Source: Rfam by way of RNAcentral
GUCGCUGAGACAACAGCGACCGGGAUUUGCAGCCCGACAGUUCCAAGGCGGACGACCGCCGCAGUGCGGUUUUUUU